UUUUAUACGCCCGUAUAAAAUACGGGACGUAUUAUGUGAAACCCCUUGGCGGGCGGGCGGGCGGCGGGCGGAAGGCAUCACUUUGUCCGGACUCUAAUUCAAAUUGUAUUCAUCCGAUCUUCACCAAACUUGGUCAGCAGUUGCAUCUAGUUGAUAUCUAGGCCAAGUUCGAAUAUGGGUCAUGCCGGGUCAAAAACUAGGUCAUAGGGUCAAUUAGUGCAUUUUCAACGGCGCCACUUUGUCCGGACUCUAAUUCAAAUUGUAUUCAUCCGAUCUUCACCAAACUUGGUCAGUAGUUGCAUCUAGUUGAUAUCUAGGUCAAGUUCGAAUAUGGGUCAUGUCGGGUCAAGAACUAGGUCAUAGGGUCAAUUAGUGCAUUUUCAACGGCGCCACUUUGUCCGGACUCUAAUUCAAAUUGUAUUCAUCCGAAACUUUUAAACAACUUUUUAUCCUGCGUCAAAGUGGUAUGGGGGUAUAAGUCACAUUCAGUGACAAAGCUCUAGUUUCCCCUUUGGACGGGCCCCGCCACCAUUCCCCUAUAAGUGAAAAAAAACACUGCGGUUUUCACAGGUGUACUUUGGGGACCUUAUUACUCAAUUGUUACUACUAGGGGACCAAUUGCGCUGAGAAUUGAAAAUAUUGUCACAAAAACAUUGAUGGCAACUAGCGAGUGGGUACCCACACUAGGUCAAGUUAGAAUAUGGGUAAUGCAGGGUCAAAAACUAGGUCAC
This is a long non-coding RNA of Dreissena polymorpha, 731 nucleotides long. RefSeq lists it as uncharacterized. NCBI's taxonomy places the organism in Eukaryota, Metazoa, Mollusca, Bivalvia, Myida, Dreissenidae. The record is from RefSeq and is a predicted model, not a curated record. The transcript is spliced from 3 exons.